AAAAGUGGGCUCAGCCGGUUUCUAAAUGACCCACCCAUCGGUCGCAACUGGUGUCUCAAAUCAUGUAUUUCAAGGCAACAUCAAACAGCUAAGAACGCAAGGAAAAUAUGUCACAAACAGCCACCCUCCCUUCACCGAUAAGGACGGUCGCAACUGGUGUCUCAAAUCAUGUAUUUCCGUGCUUCUACAGCUGCAUUGCUUGCUGUUUGGGGUUUUAGGCUGGGUUUCUGUACAGCACUUUGAGAUAUCAGCUGAUGUACGAAGGGCUAUAUAAAUAAAUUUGAUUUGAUUUGACAUGGCCCAGCUCCAAAACUCCCAGGCUCUGAAUCCCGGUACACCAAGCGGUCUGGUCCAGAAAGUGUGGUUCAAACUCCAGUUACAUCUGGGUCGAAUUGGAAAAGAGGGGAACAGACAACUAAAGCCCAACGGACUAAGAUACGCCACUCUCGCAUAUAACGAGGCCACAAAGAAUCAUCUGGACCCAAGGGAGACACCGGUGCCAAUAUAUCCAACAAACACCGUUUUCUUCGGCAUUAUCACUUAAGUCAGCUGUGGUGGAUAAAGUGAAUGUAUGGUUUCAUUUAUUAAAAUCAGCUCAAAUUAA
Long non-coding RNA from Oncorhynchus kisutch (coho salmon), 604 nucleotides. RefSeq lists it as uncharacterized. The transcript has 2 exons. NCBI's taxonomy places the organism in Eukaryota, Metazoa, Chordata, Actinopteri, Salmoniformes, Salmonidae. The record is from RefSeq and is a predicted model, not a curated record.